CUCAUUUUAACUCGGCCAAAUACAUAGUAACAUACAUAAGAAGAUUUUACUUAUAUUUACCGAACUAUUUGACACGGUCGCGUCAACUGUGUUUACGAGUGUCUUGUGUUCAGAUUGUUUUAAGUGAUAAUUUAACAAUAUUUUUCCAAAUAAAUGGAAAGAAACUUUUAUUUAUAUCAAAUAAUUGAGUGUCUCGACUGUGUGACAUUAUGUCUUGUGUGGUAUGGGGCUGCAGCUCACAUUCAGGAAGAAAAGAAAAUAGCCAACAACUUCUGUCGUUUCAUCGAUAUUAAAUCCAAAAGUGUCGACUGGAUUUACAUGAAAAGUCAGUUCAAGAAGACGAGAUGAAAAAUUUAAAAGAAAAGCUGAACAAGUCCCGCCUCAAGAUCAAACGACUUAAUGAAAAAAAAAAAAACAAUGUGACAGGGUGUCACAAAGACAGUUUCUAAGCAAAUUGACACUGUUUAGAAAUUAAUAAAUUUGUAUUUAUUGUAAAUAUAAUGUACAUAAUUAAUAACGUGUGAAAUAAAUACUUGCUAAUGAUCAGAUUUACGAUCUAAUUUAUAUUUCAUUUUACCUCCUUUUCUUAUUUACUC
Molecule: long non-coding RNA, 596 nt
Organism: Pectinophora gossypiella (pink bollworm)
Lineage: Eukaryota; Metazoa; Arthropoda; Insecta; Lepidoptera; Gelechiidae
Exons: 3
Source: RefSeq, a predicted model, not a curated record